Pygocentrus nattereri (red-bellied piranha) is the source of this 842-nucleotide long non-coding RNA. Lineage: Eukaryota; Metazoa; Chordata; Actinopteri; Characiformes; Serrasalmidae. The record is from Ensembl.
CUCUGCAUCACUACCCCUCGCGCGUAACGGUCGUAGCACUAAUAACGACAGAGCUAGCCCAGCCGCUGUUUGAGUAGCUGGCUAACGUUAGAUUUACGACUUAAAUUAAGGUUUUAUUUCGGAUAAUAUUAACCUGCAGUAACAGGGCGAAUGUUAAUUUAUCCUCAAAGGCUGGAAAAACCCAAAGAUGAAGAAAAUGCCAGCUACCCAGGCCAAGCUAUUUAACCCAGGCCAAGCUAUUUAACCCAGGCCAAGCUAUUUAGCCCAAGCCAAGCUAUUUAACCCAGGCCAAGCUAUUUAACCCAAGCCAAGCUAUUUAACCCAAGCCAAGCUAUUUAACCCAAGCCAAGCUAUUUAACCCAGGCCAAGCUGUUUAACCCAUGCCAAACUGUUUAACCCAUGCCAAGCUAUUUAACCUAGGCCAAGCUAUUUAACCCAAGCCAAGCUAUUUAACCCAAGCCAAGAUAUCUAACCUAGGCCAAGCUAUUUAACCCAAGUCAAGCUAUUUAACCUAGGCCAAGCUAUUUAACCCAAGCCAGGCUAUAUAACCUAAAGGCAGAAGAAUGAAGAAGAGCACUCCAGGUGGUGGCAGAGGGCUGCACCCCGGAAACCCAAAUCCAGUCCAGAGCUCCAGUCUGGGAGGAGACAGACCUAACGAGCCAGUUAUUCCUCUCCCACCGCAGAUUGGAAGUCCUCAAAGACUGCAAAGCAGAAUUAGGACAGCGUUGAACACCGCAGAGAGAUACAGAACAGCACUCGGUAACAAACGCGUGGGUGAGUUUAUGUGUUUAUUACUGAUUAAUCUGCUUCAUUUCUCAGAUUCGUUGUUCAGUUUAGUUUAG